This 484-nucleotide ribosomal RNA is filed under the name uncultured bacterium. RNAcentral describes it as "partial 16S ribosomal RNA". It matches the Rfam family "Bacterial small subunit ribosomal RNA", at positions 29 to 507 of the family's 1533-position model. The record is from RNAcentral.
AUUGAACGCUGGCGGCAUGCUUUACACAUGCAAGUCGAACGGCAGCGCGGGCUUCGGCCUGGCGGCGAGUGGCGAACGGGUGAGUAAUGCAUCGGAACGUGCCCAGUAGUGGGGGAUAGCCCGGCGAAAGCCGGAUUAAUACCGCAUACGACCUGAGGGUGAAAGCGGGGGACCGAAAGGCCUCGCGCUAUUGGAGCGUCCGAUGUCGGAUUAGCUAGUUGGUUGGGUAAAGGCUUACCAAGGCGACGAUCCGUAGCUGGUCUGAGAGGACGACCAGCCACACUGGGACUGAGACACGGCCCAGACUCCUACGGGAGGCAGCAGUGGGGAAUUUUGGACAAUGGGGGCAACCCUGAUCCAGCCAUGCCGCGUGCGGGAAGAAGGCCUUCGGGUUGUAAACCGCUUUUGUUCGGGAAGAAAUCCUCUGGGAUAAUACCCCGGGGGGAUGACGGUACCGGAAGAAUAAGCACCGGCUAACUACGUG